Rhinopithecus roxellana (golden snub-nosed monkey) is the source of this 1212-nucleotide long non-coding RNA. RefSeq lists it as uncharacterized. NCBI's taxonomy places the organism in Eukaryota, Metazoa, Chordata, Mammalia, Primates, Cercopithecidae. The record is from RefSeq and is a predicted model, not a curated record. The transcript is spliced from 4 exons.
AGAAGAGGGAACUCCACGGAGAAGAAAAUAGUAACGAGGCCCCAAAGGUGGAAGUACAGCCUGAGAAACUUUGCCCAGGCUGGGACUGGCUGCCCUGCCUGCUUGUCUUGCUGCUCUUGCAGGGCCUAAGGUGUGGUAUCCCCUCAGGCUUUAAAAUCCCGAUAUCUCUCCCAUGAUGGAAACACUGAAGCUCAGAGGUGAAAUAAUUGCCCCACGACCCAGAGAAGUCAAGGUUUGAAACCCCCACAUGGCCAGCCUUGAAGCCCAGGACUACUGAGACCGCAGCAACUGAGUUCUCAAGUGAAUAGCAAGAAGAUGAGGGAAACAAUGGGGCUCUCCUGAAAGCCCCCGGAGGAAGCGUCUACGGAUAUCUUUUUGGCCAGACCUGGGUUGUAGACACUUCAGCUUCAAGGGGCUCUGGGGAGGUAUGUGAUCUUCCAUGGGCAGCCUGCUGCCCUAAGCCCAGCUGGAGCCCUGUUAGUGAAGAACAAGGAGAGACUGGAGACCGGAGGCCAACCAGGGCAUCUGCCGCUCUACUGCCACAAAUAAGUAGAUCAGCUGGGUUCCAAGGCUCUGGCGCAGUCUCAGAAGCGCAGAUGAAAGUAAUCCAGGUUGGCCAAGAGGGCUUCAUGGGAUGCCUCUGUAGCUCAUAGACCCGUGGUUCCUGUGUGUCUGCCGUGGGAAGCUCAGUAGGUAGAAAAAGAGGCUCUUUCUCAAGGCUGGCAGAGCCCCGGGUUGGGGCCAUCCCUUGGCAAAUGGGGCGCAAGCAGGAUUUCAGCUCCAGCCAGCUCCUCAACCAGAUGUCUUUGUGCAGUGCACAAAUUGCACAACUGAACACAGAAGACCUUUGUAGCUAUCAGAGUAAAUUCGAAUUACAUAUCUGGUCCCUUCCUUUGUCCAAUCAGAGAUGAAAGCAGUACUGCUCCAGGAUAGUCAGGAAACAGAGGGCAAGGAAAAAAGUAGAGGGGAGUGUCAGAGAAGAAACCUCUAAAUAGUGGAGUUGACCGUUUUGAACCCUCAGCGUCAGCUGCUCCAUCUUACUUGGCUCAUUGUAAACCCACAGUCUCAGUUGGAAAGCCAAGAGGAUAUUUAUAUAGGGUGGAUCCAACCACAAACUAUCUGAAUUACUGUUGGAGAACCUGACUCUACUGUGCUCCGUAAGACUAGAGACAAUAUUUAUUUCAUUCACUGUUGUCUCCCCAGGUCUUCACA